Molecule: ribosomal RNA, 916 nt
Filed under: archaeon enrichment culture clone ARQ17-JL
Lineage: Archaea
Also listed under: 1 other name
Description: bacterial SSU rRNA
Rfam family: Archaeal small subunit ribosomal RNA
Source: RNAcentral
CAUGGCGAACUGCUCAGUAACACGUGGACAACCUGCCCUUAGGUUGGGUAUAAACCCGGGAAACUGGGUAUAAUACCCGAUAGGUCUCGAUUGCUGGAAUGCAUCGAGAUUUAAAGCUCCGGCGCCUAAGGAUGGGUCUGCGGCCUAUCAGGUAGUAGUGGGUGUAGCGUACCUACUAGCCUACGGCGGGUACGGGUUGUGAGAGCAAGAGCCCGGAGAUGGAUUCUGAGACACGAAUCCAGGCCCUACGGGGUGCAGCAGGCGCGAAAACUUUACAAUGCUGGCAACAGCGAUAAGGGAACCUCGAGUGCCAGGUUACAAAUCUGGCUGUCGAGAUGCCUAAAAAGCAUUUCAUAGCAAGGGCCGGGCAAGACCGGUGCCAGCCGCCGCGGUAACACCGGCGGCUCGAGUGGUAACCGUUAUUAUUGGGUCUAAAGGGUCUGUAGCCGGCCGGAUAAGUCUCUUGAGAAAUCUGGCAGCUUAACUGUCAGGCUUUCAGGAGAUACUGUCUGGCUCGAGGCCGGGAGAGGUGAGAGGUACUUCAGGGGUAGGGGUGAAAUCUUGUAAUCCUUGAAGGACCACCAGUGGCGAAGGCGUCUCACCAGAACGGACCUGACGGCAAGGGACGAAAGCUAGGGGCACGAACCGGAUUAGAUACCCGGGUAGUCCUAGCCGUAAACGAUACUCGCUAGGUGUCGGCCACGGUGCGACCGUUGUCGGUGCCGUAGGGAAGCCGUGAAGCGAGCCACCUGGGAAGUACGGCCGCAAGGCUGAAACUUAAAGGAAUUGGCGGGGGAGCACCACAACGGGUGGAGCUUGCGGUUUAAUUGGAUUCAACGCCGGAAAUCUUACCGGGACCGACAGCAAUAUGAAGGCCAGGCUGAAGACUUUGCCGGAUUAGCUGAGAGGUGGUGCA